RNAcentral lists this ribosomal RNA (256 nucleotides) under uncultured bacterium. RNAcentral's name for it is "partial 16S ribosomal RNA". It matches the Rfam family "Bacterial small subunit ribosomal RNA", at positions 524 to 776 of the family's 1533-position model. The record is from RNAcentral.
UACGGAGGGGGGCUAGCGUUGUUCGGAAUUACUGGGCGUAAAGCGCGCGUAGGCGGACCUGCAAGUCGGGGGGUGAAAGCCCGAGGCUCAACCUCGGAACUGCCUUCGAUACUGCGGGUCUCGAGUCCGGGAGAGGUGAGUGGAAUUCCUAGUGUAGAGGUGAAAUUCGUAGAUAUUAGGAAGAACACCAGUGGCGAAGGGCGGCUCACUGGCCCGGUACUGACGCUGAGGUGCGAAAGCGUGGGGAGCAAACAGG